This 358-nucleotide unclassified non-coding RNA is filed under the name uncultured Sordariomycetes. RNAcentral describes it as "sequence contains ITS2". The stretch from base 1 to 154 matches the Rfam family "5.8S ribosomal RNA". Lineage: Eukaryota; Fungi; Ascomycota; Sordariomycetes. The record is from RNAcentral.
AACUUUCGGCAACGGAUCUCUUGGUUCUGGCAUCGAUGAAGAACGCAGCGAAAUGCGAUAAGUAGUGUGAAUUGCAGAGUUUAGUGAAUCAUCGAAUCUUUGAACGCACAUUGCGCCCGCCGGCACUCCGGCGGGCAUGCCCGUCCGAGCGUCACCUCUACCCUUGGGCACUGCCCAGCGUUGGGGACCCGCGCCCAGCGCGGCCCCCUGAAUCUAGCGGCGCCGCCGCCUGGCCCGUCCCCUGCGAGGUAAGAAUCCGCAGAGGGUCCCGGGCGAGCGGCAGCCACCCACACGUACUCAUGACCUCGGAUCGGGUAGGACUACCCGCUGAACUUAAGCAUAUCAAUAAGCGGAGGCU